GACGAACGCUGGCGGCGUGCCUAAUACAUGCAAGUCGAGCGGAACUGGGGGAGCUUGCUCCUUCCAGUUUAGCGGCGGACGGGUGAGUAACACGUGGGCAACCUGCCCUGCAGAUCGGGAUAACUCCGGGAAACCGGUGCUAAUACCGAAUAGUUUGGCGCCUCUCCUGAGGCGCCACGGAAAGACGGUUUCGGCUGUCACUGCAGGAUGGGCCCGCGGCGCAUUAGCUAGUUGGUGGGGUGACGGCCCACCAAGGCGACGAUGUGUAGCCGACCUGAGAGGGUGACCGGCCACACUGGGACUGAGACACGGCCCAGACUCCUACGGGAGGCAGCAGUAGGGAAUCUUCCGCAAUGGACGCAAGUCUGACGGAGCAACGCCGCGUGAGUGACGAAGGUUUUCGGAUCGUAAAACUCUGUUGUGAGGGAAGAACACGUACCAACUAACUAUUGGUACCUUGACGGUACCUCACCAGAAAGCCACGGCUAACUACGUGCCAGCAGCCGCAGUAA
This 512-nucleotide ribosomal RNA is filed under the name uncultured bacterium. RNAcentral describes it as "partial 16S ribosomal RNA". It matches the Rfam family "Bacterial small subunit ribosomal RNA", at positions 28 to 523 of the family's 1533-position model. The record is from RNAcentral.